UUGACUCAUAUGUUAUGUUUUCCAUUCCCUAUUCUUGUAUGAUUAUUCCCUUUAUAGGUAGCUACCUUCCCUAGUCGGUUACUCGCUGCAAAACAUACUCCUUCGUUUCAAAACAAACUAUCCCCACGCGUAGUAACUAAACUGGACUUUACUUCUCGCAACACUAGCACCUGAUACUGUGCGCGUACCAGACUCAGCCCCGACCUCUCCUCUCAAGUCACUUCUUGUCUUCCCCACCGGAUUCUGUAGUUGAUGCCGACUUUCCUGCUCAAGCUUCUUUUCUUCUCUUGUAAACUUAUAGCUUGCUGCCCUGAACCCUGCUUGAAUGCCAUCUUAUCUACCCCAAACUUCAAGGAAGCUGUGUAAACCCAUGGAUCUCUCUACUUUGAGCUACAGCCCACUUAACCGUGUUGUCGGCCUUAAUAGCCUCUUACUCUCACAGGAACAGGCAAUUCCUAUCUUUCUCCCUUGUCGUCAACUACAGGAAUAUCAACUCCUUUUCCUUCCCCUCCAGCAGGAAUAUCAACUCCUUUUCCUUCCCCUCUAGUUAGUGCAACAAAUCAUUCUUAAACUGUCACACAUAUACUUAUAUUAUUUAUUACUUCUUCUACAUAUACUUAUAUUAUUUAUUACUUCUUCUAUUAGGCUAGGCAUUGGCAUCAGAUCUUGAAACGGAAACGGAUUAUUCUCUUACCGACCUAACCUAUACUUAAAGUGUUGAACCGACAACACCAAUAUACUGAACUCGAACAACAAGUGAUCUAUUUACUACUCUGGAGGGGCGGACAGUUGCUUCUUCUUCCUCUGAUUCUCUCGAUCCCACUCUAUUACUAUAUGCUGAGUGGCGGUAAGUCUUAGUAGUUUCUUGUCUCCUUUAUUACCAUCGGCACCAAAAGAGACUACUUUCCUAGCGGAGAUUUGAGAAGCACUCAACCAGUAGACGUCAAGCCAAGAACUCCACUUUCCAAA
Molecule: long non-coding RNA, 969 nt
Filed under: Musa acuminata (dwarf banana)
Lineage: Eukaryota; Viridiplantae; Streptophyta; Magnoliopsida; Zingiberales; Musaceae
Description: long non-coding RNA (MACU_LNC005077)
Source: RNAcentral